UACGUAGGGGCUAGCGUUAUCCGGAAUUACUGGGCGUAAAGGGUGCGUAGGCGGUCUUUCAAGCCAGAAGUGAAAGGCUACGGAUCAACCGUAGUAAGCCUUUGAAACUGGGAAACUUGAGUGCAGGAGAGGAGAGUGGAAUUCCUAGUGUAGCGGUGAAAUGCGUAGAUAUUAGGAGGAACACCAGUUGCGAAGGCGGCUCUCUGGACUGUAACUGACACUGAGGCACGAAAGCGUGGGGAGCAAACAGGAUUAGAUACCCUGGUAGUCCCUGA
Molecule: ribosomal RNA, 275 nt
Filed under: uncultured prokaryote
Description: partial 16S ribosomal RNA
Rfam family: Bacterial small subunit ribosomal RNA
Source: RNAcentral